UCAGGAAUUUUAGAGAUCAAUAAGGUUGCCGGCUUGCCCAUCAUGACCAAGCACCAAGCAAUAUCGAUUGAAGAAAUUGAAGUCAUUAAGCAGGAAAGAAGUUGCGUUGUAAAAGAGUGCAAGAACAGAAACUGCAAUAGCGGCAUUGGUAGCAGAAACAGUCUCAGACCAAAAUAUUGUAAUGACCAAUGGCGCCACGACCGCACAGCCAUGCGUUACUGAUGCUAAAAAUUUAACAUUGACGGAGCACAGGGAGUUUUAGGUCAGAAUAUGAAUAGUGCGCAGCAAGCACGCGUACAGCAAGCAAUAGAUCUGUAUUUUGCAACAGUUGAAAAUUAAUGUACGCUUCCUUAUCUCCUACACUAUCACAGGGGUCAAAACGCAGGGUAAUUGCCAGUAUUCUAAAUAUGUCUUUCCCAGAGUUCAAAUAAUAUACGCGUAUAUACGAAGCAGCAGAGAUUUAUGAAGAUGUAGAAAUAUUAAAGCGGUGCUAUGAGCACACAAUAAAAUCCCCCCAAGUAUGGCCCAUUAAUCUUUAUAUGCGUCUAUCAGAUGUCUUUCAGUACCAUAAAUCAAAGGACGUUGCACUGCCUCAAAUCGGUUUACAGUAUAUUUCACCGAAAUUAAUCCAUUGGCGAAAUUUAAUUUCGACAACAAAUUAUGACCAUAUAGUCAUUUGGGACUACUAUCGCAGUACUGGUAUAUUUUAACUAAAGUAAUGAGAUGCAUAACGAACGAGCAAAGCACGCCGCCAGAAAAUAAUGAAAGUUCUAUUUUUGAAAAAUCAGUUGGGUUGCACGCCGUAGAGCAGGUACA
This is a long non-coding RNA of Rhagoletis pomonella (apple maggot), 816 nucleotides long. RefSeq lists it as uncharacterized. The record is from RefSeq and is a predicted model, not a curated record. The transcript has 3 exons. NCBI's taxonomy places the organism in Eukaryota, Metazoa, Arthropoda, Insecta, Diptera, Tephritidae.